RNAcentral lists this ribosomal RNA (253 nucleotides) under uncultured bacterium. Its description in RNAcentral is "partial 16S ribosomal RNA". It matches the Rfam family "Bacterial small subunit ribosomal RNA", at positions 524 to 776 of the family's 1533-position model. The record is from RNAcentral.
UACGGAGGAUGCAAGCGUUAUCCGGAAUUAUUGGGCGUAAAGCGUCCGCAGGUGGCAGUUCAAGUCUGCUGUCAAAGACCGGGGCUUAACUUCGGAAAGGCAGUGGAAGCUGAACAGCUAGAGUAUGGUAGGGGCAGAGGGAAUUCCUGGUGUAGCGGUGAAAUGCGCAGAUAUCAGGAGGAACACCAAUGGCGAAGGCAGCUCGCUGGGAAGGUACUGACGCUGAGGCGCGAAAGCGUGGGGAGCAAACAGG